Molecule: ribosomal RNA, 253 nt
Filed under: uncultured bacterium
Lineage: Bacteria
Description: partial 16S ribosomal RNA
Rfam family: Bacterial small subunit ribosomal RNA
Source: RNAcentral
UACGGAGGGGGCUAGCGUUGUUCGGAAUUACUGGGCGUAAAGCGCGUGUAGGCGGUUGCCAUAGUCAGGUGUGAAAGCCUUGAGCUUAACUCAAGAAAUGCACUUGAUACUGGGCGACUAGAGGACCGGAGAGGAUAGUGGAAUUCCCAGUGUAGUGGUGAAAUACGUAGAGAUUGGGAAGAACACCAGUGGCGAAGGCGGCUAUCUGGACGGUUUCUGACGCUAAGACGCGAAAGCGUGGGGAGCAAACAGG